Molecule: ribosomal RNA, 639 nt
Filed under: uncultured bacterium
Lineage: Bacteria
Description: bacterial SSU rRNA
Rfam family: Bacterial small subunit ribosomal RNA
Source: RNAcentral
CGAGGGGCAGCGGGGGAGUGGCAACACUUCCGCCGGCGACCGGCGCACGGGUGAGUAACACGUAUGAAACCUGCCCGCAGCAGGGGGAUAAGCGGAAGAAAUUCCGUCUAAUACCGCGUAACAACCGACGGGGGCAUCCCUGUUGGUUCAAAGGAGCGAUCCGGCUGCGGAUGGUCAUGCGGCGCAUUAGCUAGUUGGCGGGGCAACGGCCCACCAAGGCGACGAUGCGUAGGGGUUCUGAGAGGAAGGUCCCCCACACUGGUACUGAGACACGGACCAGACUCCUACGGGAGGCAGCAGUGAGGAAUAUUGGUCAAUGGCCGAGAGGCUGAACCAGCCAAGUCGCGUGAGGGAUGACGGCCCUACGGGUUGUAAACCUCUUUUGCCGGGGAGCAAAGAGCGGGACGCGUCCCGCCUCGAGAGUACCCGGAGAAAAAGCAUCGGCUAACUCCGUGCCAGCAGCCGCGGUAAUACGGAGGAUGCGAGCGUUAUCCGGAUUUAUUGGGUUUAAAGGGUGCGCAGGCGGAAGCGCAAGUCAGCGGUAAAAUUGAGAGGCUCAACCUCUUCCCGCCGUUGAAACUGCGUUUCUUGAGUGGGCGAGAAGUACGCGGAAUGCGUGGUGUAGCGGUGAAAUGCAUA